CAUGCUCUGAGGAUAUAAAUAUCUUUUUCAUAUUAUAUUACACUGAGUUAUGUAGUGCGACAUUAUUGAGCGCUGCCAGCUAGAGAGGAAGAUCGGACAUCCUCUUCCGUGCAUGUUGAUUUCUGAACUCCUUUAACAACAUCAUCUGUUUCUUCAGAUAGGCCUCUCCAGCAUAGCUGUAUUGGAAAUGUGAAAGUGUUUAUGUCAGAGAAGCAGGACUACAAGUACAUUGUAAGAGGCAUAACCGAAAGGUGUCUUACAGCAGUUCUGUCUUAAUUUUGAUGACAAAAUCUGAAUCAAUUCCAUGCAUAAAAAGAAUGCCAGUUUCAUGAGAUCAGAAUUAACGAAGAUACACCAAUUUCUUUCCUCUGUAGAUUAAAGAAAUGAACAAAACCCACUGUGCCAAAAUAUGCAUCCCACUUCUAUCCUUUCCUGUAUAUCCUGAGUACACACCCAGGAAGAGAAGUUGACAGUGAAGCAGUAUUUAAUAAUCUUUCUGUCACAGUUAUUGAAUAACAAAAGUUUUCUGCAAAUGAACCUCAGGAGAGAGACCAAACUCAGCAGUAACUAAAUGGAAAUUAAAAACCAAAAGAGACAACUUUCAAUGGCUAUUUACCUAAAAAGAAGUGAAAUUCUCUGUGCUGUCUUCCAGAUUGAAAAGAACUUCUACAAAAUAUGAAACCAGGACAUUAAAAUACUAGCCACUGAUUUUCAAACAAUACUGUAAGUUCUUGAAUAUUUUAGGGUUCUGCUUUGAGCUGUUGUCUCUAAGCAACACAACAGGCAAUGUAGCAAUGUUUCAUAUGACUAUAAAAUAUAUCUACAGUUCUUUUCACCUAAAUAGUGAAGUUGCUAAACCUUUGGAGACACCUAUGUUAAACAGUGGAUUAGUUGGUAAAACCCAGAAGAUUGAUUUUUUUCAUUCGUCACUAUGAGACUCAACUGAGAACGCUCCUCAUCAAAAAACAGCAUUGAAAUGGGGGAAAAAAAAAGGUAAGAUUAAGAAACAGUACACUUUUAAUACCUUACAGCACCUGAAAUUAUCAAUUACUUUUUUAGAAAAGAUACUGUGUUUAUUAGAAAGUGGUAUUAAGGAUGCAUCCUUAUCAUAAGGAUAAAGAUGUGAAUUACUGGCUGUGUAACAAAGAGAUGAAUUGAAGAAAGGUCUGGAGGGAAUUUUACAGAUGUCCUAGUCAUGAGAAACUUUGCAAAAAGCUUGUGAAGCUGCCCACAGAUUUGAAGCUGUGAGAAAUCUGAAAUGCCAUGGAUGACUGUGACACUGCUUAAAAUUGCUGAGGUUAAUGGGCUGCAUGGUGGCUAUUAUGAAUGUCACUUAACUGCACUGCUUUUACAGAACAGAGUUUUCCUCUUCCAGUGAUGUUAAUUAUGAAGCAUAUGUAUUCUGAGACAGCAUAAUGGAUGCUAUUGUUCCAUUUGUGAAAACACUUGAUGUUUAUCGGUGCUUAAGGGACAACAUGCUGCAUAAUUCUGCUGUACUUAAUUUUAUAUUGUACAUAAUAUAGCACCACAUUUUUUGCUUUCCAGUAGAACAUCACAGUUUUCUUUGUCACAUUAGAACAGUAAAAAACUGUUCUCACUUUUAUUAUGGUCAAUGAACCUCAUUCAAUACUUGUGAUUUUGGAAAAUGAGUGAAGGCUUUCUUCAGCCUGGUCUCCUGUCUUUUAUCCCCUGCAGAACUAAUUUGGACUAAAUCAAGUCAUAAGCAAACUUACCAAAUAUCAUGAAACUAGUGCCAUGGGCACAAGAGCUGGUAGAUGGCAACAGCUACAGAGGGUAGAGUUCUAACAUUCCAAACAGUCUUAAUUCCUACCUCUUCCCUUCUUUUUCCUCUGGGCAAUGUAGAAGAGAGGCUUUCAGGUUUGCUCUGGAUAUGUAUAUAUGGAUGUCUUAAUAAAGAGCAUUGAAAAUUU
Long non-coding RNA from Pezoporus occidentalis (night parrot), 1931 nucleotides. RefSeq lists it as uncharacterized. NCBI's taxonomy places the organism in Eukaryota, Metazoa, Chordata, Aves, Psittaciformes, Psittacidae. The transcript has 2 exons. The record is from RefSeq and is a predicted model, not a curated record.